This is a long non-coding RNA of Pectinophora gossypiella (pink bollworm), 897 nucleotides long. RefSeq lists it as uncharacterized. The transcript has 3 exons. The record is from RefSeq and is a predicted model, not a curated record. Lineage: Eukaryota; Metazoa; Arthropoda; Insecta; Lepidoptera; Gelechiidae.
UGGCGCCGUCCGGAAUCGAACGAUGAUGACGCCAUUAGAGUUCGGGCGUGUUCGUCAACAGUUACAGCGCGCACGAAUCUAUAAAAGCGGGCGCUCACGUGAACGCAGGUUCAGUCUUCAGUGAUCGGUCGCCAGCGUAAGACGUGUCGUAUCGUAUGACAAAUACUCAUUAUAUUACUUUUAUUAGAUUUGAUUGUGUGUGGGUAAAUAUAAGGGCGGUAAUUAUUGUGAGCUGAAUAUUAUAAUAAAGAGACGUGUAUUCUAAAUAGUGCUUUGUUUUCAGUUAAAUCCUAUAUGUAACUUAAUCUGUAUUGGGCCGGCUUUCCCUUCGAGGAUUAGAAGGUCAGACAGGCAUCGCUUCUGUAAAAAACCGGACCUGUCAAAUCUUCAAGUAAAUUCUGCAAAUACUUCAACCGCGCAGUGUCACCUUGGGAUAAGCCACACAAAGACAAUUUUCCCGGUCAAUAAAGCUAUUUGAAGGACAAAACUAUAACGAGGAAUAUAAACGUCAACGAUAAUGGGUUUACGAUAAUUCGACAUUGAACAGAUAAUCGCUGUUUUACGAUGUUCUUCCGAAACAACAACAUAAACAAAUCCGGAAAAAGAAAAUCCUUUUAGGCAAAAAAAAUGUAAGAAACUUGAUCUGACCUGAUUAAUUAACGAGUCAUCGAUUCAAUUUAUAAAACAAACUGAAGAAAUAAAGUAAACAUAAAAUAGCCGGUCAAAUACGAGGUCAAGUCGUACACCGAGGGUUCGCAGAGCUGUGAAUUAGCUGUUGAAAAAGUACUGGCUUCAUACAUCGACAUAAGUAGAAAUAGAAAUAGAAAAGUGGUGUUAUAAAAAUACAGGAGUACUUAGUAUUGUAGUAUCAAAAUGGACCUGGUAAAGGCACUGCAA